GGACCUUUUGUUGGCCUCGGAUAGGCGAUCCUCGCCGUGCGCCGGGAACCGGGGUCUGGUGCAGACAGCCCUUCAUCCUGGGAAACGCGCUGCUGCCAGAAAGGCGGUCACUCCCUGACCCAUCACGUAAUGUGUUUGUGGGGAACCUGAUGCUAAGCUAUUCGUAGACGCCCUGCUUCUGGGUCAGGGUUUUCUAUGGAGCAGAGCAGCUCCCUCCCUGCCAUCUAUUGAAAAUCAGAUCUCCACACAAGGGUCUCUCCACCCGUGUGUGGGGGACCCGGUGAUAUGGCGUGUCCUUGUGUAAUUCAACCUUUGACGUGUACUUUUCUUCCUCCCUCCUGUUGCCCCUGGGGACCUCGUUCCCUGGCCCGCUCAUGCCCACCCGCCCCGGAGCUCCGGAACACACAGCGGGUGUCUCUCGCCAGAGCCCAUCAGCGCCCGCUGUGCAUUUGGGAGGCGCCCGUCCCCACCGGCGGGCUUUCCAAGAUGCCACGCGGGGGAUUGCCGAGGUAGGGGUGGCGCACCUGCUCGUAGUUCCACCUCUCCGAUUCCACCUCCUCCCCACACCCCUCUGGGAACUCCUCCAGGGGCUGGGAUCGGAUUCAUUGAGCCUGUUGAGAAUGGCUGAGGCGUGGGUGUCGGAGGGUGUGCCCCUGAGGUUUCUGUCCCAGUAAUGUUCACGCAUGCCCGGUGGUGGCCUUUGGGGUCACUGCCCCUCUCCCCGCCCCAGGUGCGCGGGGCUGGGAUAUGAGCCAGUCACUGCCUUUGUGCCUUUCCUUCUCUCUCCGCUGCCGGGUUCAACCAGCGGACAGUGGGGGAACGGCGGGCAGGUCGGUGGAGUUAGAUGACAGUAAAGGUGGGCCGGCUCUGUGUGAUAAGAUUCCAACUGGGUCCGACCGCUUCCGUCCGCUGGCGCCGGGUCCCCCAGACGUCUGCGGCGAGCGUUGGAACUGACCAUCAACCUGGGAUUUCUAAGGAAUAACAGAUAACUCUGUUGGCGUGUGAGAAUGCGAUCUCGGCUCAUCGCAGCCUGGACCUUCCUGGGCUCCGUCAGGUGAUCUUGCCAUCUCAGUCUUCCAAGUGGCUGAGACUGCAGGAAUAGCUUGAUUCUGGGAUGUCGAAGCUGCAGUGAGCCAUGAUCACGCCACUGCCCUCCAGCCUGAGUGACAGAGAAAGACCCUGUUUCAGAAAGUAAGAGAGACAGGUUAAAGAAAUAACUCCUUGAAAUUACUACAAUUAAUUGUGAUCUAAAUUACUUGUUAUAUUUUUCACUCCCACUAGUUUAUUAUUAUUGUUGUUGUUAUUAUUUAUUUGUAUUAUUGUUUGUUAUAAUUGUUAUUGUUUUUAUUAUUUAGUUAUUUAGAGAUGGAGUCUUGGUCUAUCACCCAGACUGCAGUGCAGUGGCACGACCUUGGCUCACUGUAGCCUCAUAUUCCCGGGUUCAAGUUCGAGACCAACCUGGGCAAUAUGGCAUAACAACCGUGUCUACUAAAAUCUAUCACUGAUACUCCCAGGGCCGUUGGAUAUGGCAGGUGCAAGUUCGGAGGCUGAGGCAGGCGGUUCGCUAAAGUUUGGGAGUUCGAGAUGAGCCUGGGCAACAGGCUGCAGUGCAUUUGCCUGACCAAGGCCCACCACAGCCUCUACCUCCCCAGCCCAAAUGAUGCUCCCACCUCAGGCUCCAAAGGAGCUGAAACUACAGGCGCCUGCCAUCACGCCCGGCUAACUUUUUAAUUUUUUCUUUUUUAAAGUAGAGACGUGGUCUCACUGUGUUGCCAGGGCUGGUCUCAAACUGCUGGGCUCAAGUGAUUCUUCCACCUCAACCUCCCAAAGUGUUGGGAUUAUAGGUGUGAACCAUGAUGCGCUUCCCUCUUUUUCAUUUCCUUUAUUUUUCCUUUUUUCUUCCUCUUUCUUUCUUUUUCUUUCUUUCUUUUCUUUUUCUUUCUUCUCUCUCUCUUUUUCUUCCUCCCUUCUAUCAUUUCUCAUUCUCUUUUUCUGUUUCUCUUUCUAUUUUCUUCGUUAUCUUUCUUCCCUUUACAUCUCUGUCUCUUUUUCUUUACAUUUUUUUUUAAUCUUUUUUGCUGUCUGUCUUUUCUCAAUUCGUUUCCUCCCAUCCCUCCAACUGUCUGUCUUCGUGUGGAUUCUGGAAGAGUCUCCUCAUUCUGUAUCCCCUGUGUAUCACAAGCCUCUGAGACUUUUGCUUUGUUCUUUUCUCCUUGUUGCAUAAAAGGCAUUCACUCUUCUUUUAUUUUGGUACUCUGUGGACGGUCGAGGGCUGGAAAGAAAAAAAACGGACCAUGAAUUUAAUUGGUUUCACAAGAGACAUGGGAGACCAAAGAACGCACGAUGAGUACUUUGCUAAAUAUCCUGUUUAUUCUCCCAACCAGGCUCAUAAAAGUACAGAUGCAUCCGAGACGAGGCUUCACCAUGUUGCCAAGUAUGGUCUUGAUUGCCUGGGAUCAAGGAAUCCACCCGCCCUCAGGCUCCCAAUGUUCGAGAAUUAAAGGCGUGAGCCACUGCUCCUGACAGCAUUGUUUUUUGUUUGUUUGUUUGUUUGUUUCUUUUUUUAAUCUCUUGUCUUUCCAGGAGUUUCACGGCAGAGUGUUUGGCUGGCUUGUUUAAAUUCAUUCUAAAUAGGAACUGAGGAUAUCAGCUUCUGGCCUCAUGGACUCAGAGCUGAUGAGUCCCAAAAACUCAUAAAGUUUAAAAUAAAUAAUUUUGUUGUACAGAAAUACACGGAUGCACCCAAAACACAGAAACAAUUCUUUUAAAAGUUGUCUUAGUCCUGGUGGGUGUGCCAGUGAUUCUUUUAGGUUUGGAGCUUGACUGAGAGAAUUUCCAGUCGGUCUCUGGAUGGAAGUUCCAGAUGAUCCGAUGGGUGGGGACUUAGACUGUGUCCCCCCAGGGGCCCUGGUCUAUUAGUUGUGGGGACUGCCUGGGAGAGCGUGGUGACCCACUGUACUGUGGGAGCCUCUACCCUUCCCCUCCCUUCUCCCCCUCCGGGUGAUGCCAAUUCAUUCCAGGCUGAAACUCUCAUUGGCAGACUUUGGGCAUCACCUAGUGGCCACUGUUACUCUGAAAACUGAGGCCUCAAGGAAGAAGAAAGUUCAUGGUGCCUGUACACAGCCCAGGGCAACUGUGUCGUCUCCACUUCUCCUGCCGCCACCUCCAAGUUUCUCCCUCCCUUGUUUCCUAGGGAAUCACCACCCUGAUGACUGGGUCUGAUUCUUCUUUGAUCAGUUAAAAAAAUAAAUAAAUAUGCCGGGAGUGGUGGCUCACACCUGUAAUCCCAGCACUUUGGGAGGCAGAGGCAGGCAGAUCACGAGGUCAGGAGUUCAAGUCCAGCCUGGCCAGUAUGGUGAAAACGUAUCUCUACUAAACAUACAAAAAACUAGCCAUGCAUGGUGGUGCACACCUGUAAUCCCAGCUACUCAGGAGGCUGAGGCAGGAGAAUUGCUUGAACCCAGUAGGUUAAGGUUGCAGUGAGCCAGGAUAGUACCACUGCACUCCAACCUGGGCAACAGAGUGAGACUCAGUCUCAAAAAAAAAAAAAAAAAAGGGGGGGGGGGGAAAGAGGCCAGGCGUAGUGGCUCACACCUGUAAUCCUAGCACUUAUGGAGGCUGAUGUGGGCAAAUCACCUGAGGUUGGGAUUUCGAGACCAGCCUGACCAACACGGAGAAACUGUCUCUACUAAAAAUAGCAAGUUAGCCAGGCGUGGUGGCGCUUUCCUGUAAUCCCAGCUACUCGGGAGGCCAAAAAAGGAGAAUUACUUGAACCCAGGAGACAGAGGUUGCGGUGAGCCGAGAUUGCACCAUUACUCUCCAACCUGGGCAACAAGAGCGAAACUCCGUAUCCAACAUAAUAGUAACAAUAAUAAUAAAAUAAAAAAUAAGCGAGUCUCCAGGAAAAAAGAAAAUAAAAAUAAAACCAACACUGACAUAAACAUAUGCCUUUGUCUUUUUGAGGCAGCAAUGAUGCUACAAAGUGAUCCACCUGUCUCAGCUUCCCAAAGUGCUGAGAUUACAGGUGUGAGCCACUGCACCCAGCUAUGUGUACUUUCUAUGUGUACUUUCUUUUUUUAAAUUAAGUUUUUGUUUGUUUUGAGACAGAGUCUUACUGUGUCACCGAGGCUUGAGCACAGUGGCAUGCUCAUGGCUCACUGCAACCUCCACCUCCCAGGUUCAAGCAGUUUUCCUGCCUUAGCCUCCCCAGUAGCUGCGACUAUUGGCACAUGCCACUGCACCUGACUAAUUUUUGUAUUUUUAGUAGAGACAGGGUUUCGCUGUGGUCGCCAGGCUGGUCUCAAACUCCUGACCUCAAGUGAUCCACCCGUCUCAGCCUCUCAAAGUGUGAGAAAGAAUUUCUGGGUGCUAGAUGAGUUGGUCUCUCCUUUGUGAGACACCCAUGGGGAGUCAUGGGCGGCCUCUGAGGAGAAAAGUCUCCUUAUUGCCUUCAUGUCUUUAUGCCCUGAGAGCAUAACAGCUCAGAGGCAUUCCACAGGUUGUUAAGGGAGAUACCACACUCCCUUGAAGCAGUGGAAUAUAAUCGAACAUGUUGGCUCCUCCUGAAAUCCACUCCCAUCCAUUUCAGUCCCGAUAAGUUAAAUAUCUUAAGUAGUUUAGACACACACCUUUGCUCAAGGAAAUUCACAAAAACCGCCACUCCUACACAUCUUAUUGCAUGACUCACGAGUUCUCUUUCACUGAUUAAUCCUUUUCCUCAUCCCUUUCUACCCCUCCCAUCUGCCCUAAGAACAAACAGCUUGUAAGCCAAUGAAUUCAGUGGAGCCCGAGAGCUCUGGGCCGUGAGCAAGCCUCCGAUGCUCCUGUCCCCUGGACCCGCCACUUUAACACUUAUUUUGUCUCUUUCCAACUCCUUUGUCUCUGCCGGACUCGGGGUACCCACUGGCUGGUGCAAGGCUGGUUUCCCCACACAAAGUGCUGAGGUUACACGCAUGAGCCACUGCGCCCAGCUAUGUGUAAUUUCAUAACUCAGCUCAUUUCUUGACUGGGUACCAUGGGCAUUUGGGCCACUUUCUCAUGGAACUUACUUGUGCUUCAGGAUCUGUUCAGACCCAAUCAGGUCCACAGCACUUCCGUGUCAUGCUGGAGUGCUGCUGUGCACACCCACUUAUGCCCAGUGUGUGAUGAGUGGCUCAGCUCACAUGGUAACUUCGUGGCCCCACGGUUGGGCAUUUGGUUUCUACUAACAGCCAGAGGCUAGCUGAGAGAGCCUGUCGCUCAAAAGAAGAAUGGUUAUCUGCAGAUAAUGGCAGGGCCUUGCUCCGAAAUCCUCAAGACCUCCUCUGUGAUUUGGAAUAGCCUAUGUCUCAAAUGGAUGGUCCUGUUUUUCUGCUCUGGUCUUUAGGAACAAGUGGAACCUUCCCAUGCUCUGCCACCUCCUUGCAUCUUUUUAUAUUCAUCUAUUCAUUUAUUCAUGUAUUUUUUAGAGACGGGGUCUUCCUGUGUCGCUGAGGCUGGAGUGCAGUGGUAGGAUCAUAGCUGGCUGCAACCUUGAACUGCUGGGCUCAAAGCGAUCUUCCUCCGCCUCAGCCUCCCAAGUAGCUGGGCCUACAGGCAAGGGUGUGAGCCACAAAACAGCACAACGCCUGGCUAAUUAUCUUCAUUAUUAUUAUUAUUGUUUUCUUGCUUCUUUUCUGAGACAAAGUCUCCCUCUGUCACCUGGGCUGGAGUGUAAUUGUUCCCAGACCAAACUGAGGGUUGGGCUGCUUAUUCUUGUGUCCUGACAACAAGAUGCAGAUGAACUGAAAAAGGAUGGAGUUUUUAAUUUCUGUGACCACUUAGAGGGAGAAGGCCUGGAAAUAUCACCAGACCGACUCAAAAUUACAAAGGUUUGUAAAGCUUAUAUACCCUCUAAGCUAUCUGCCUAAGCGUAAGAGUUUAUUCAUCUAAAGGUGGAAGCGAUUGACUUUUUUUUGUUGUUGUUAUUGGAGUCUUCCUCUGUUGCCCAGGCUGGAGUGCAGUGGUGAGAUCUCAGCUCACUGCAACCUCCACCUCCCGAGUUCAAGUGAUUCUCAUGCCUCAGCCUCCAAGGAGCUGGGAUUGCAGGUGCCCACCACCAUGCCUGGCUAAUUUUUGGAUUUUUCUUAGAGGUGGUUUUUUGCCCUGUUGACCAGGCUGGUUUGGAACUCUUGACCUCAGGUGGUCUGCCCACCUUGGCCUCCCAAAGUGCUGGGGUGAUGGGUGUGGGCCACCACUCCCAGCCACUUCUUUUGUUACUAGAAAUGGGCUCUCUCACUAUCAUAGUAUGUUGGAACCUAGCCCCCCCAAAUCUGGCCAUAAACAGUCCCCAAAACUGGCCAUAAACAAAAUCUCUGCAGCAUUAUGACAUGUAUGUAAUGGCCCUAUUGCCCAAGCUGGAAGGUUGUGGGUUUACGUGAAUGAGGGCAAUGAACACCUGGCCCACCCAGGGCAGAAAACCGCUUAAAGGCAAUCUUAAGCCACAAACAAUAGCAUGAGCAAUCUGUGUCUUAAGGGCGUGUUCCUGCUGCAGUUAAGUAGCCCAACCUAUUCAUUUAAUUUGGCCCAUCCCUUUGUUUCCCAUAAGGGAUACUUUUACUUAAUUUAAUAUCUAUAGAAACAAUGCUAAUGACUGGUUUGCUGUUAAUAAAUAUGUGGGUAAAUCUCUGUUCGGAGCUCUUAGCUCUGAAGGCUGUGAGACCCCUGAUUUCCCACUUCAUACCUCUAUAUUUCUGUGUGUGUGUCUUUAAUUCCUGUAGCGCCACUGGGUUAGGGUCUCCCCAGCCGAGCUGGUCUCGGCAAUAGUAUAAACUCAUCUAUAUCAUGGGAUAUGGCACAUGCAUUUGUACAUGCGUACGUGCAUGUGUUUCUCCAUGUUUUCCCAAGCCAGGGAAAACAUGCUUCUUCCUCUGCAGGGGCUCUGGUAGAUUAGUUGUUGGGAGCUCCUCAGAGGGUGCUGGGCUGACACUCUCAUCCGUUUUUGAAGUCUAGGUGGCACACAGGAUGCUGUGGCCACCCGCCCAUGGUAAGGAGUGAGUGUGGUUUCUCUCUGCACCCCCUGCCCCCACCCCUGCCCUUGGAGGCCCACCCUACCUCUGUCCAUCUGUUCUCCCACUCCCUCGUUGCCCAGAAAACCUCUGGAGAUUCUGGCUGCGCCAGAUUGUUGAUCUUUUUGAUCAGCUGGUUCCUUUUCUUUGUGUGUUUGAUCCGUGUGGACUCUUCUGCCUCGGUUUUAAAGAUGGCAGCUCCACCCUAGGCCUUUUUGUUAGUGGAGACUUUUCUGAUUCUCCCCAGAUGUUGUGAAAGCAGGUAAAUGUCAAGCGUGUGGGACUAAAUGGCAUUUCCUAGAAAUAACCAAAUGAGUGUGGAGGAAGAAACAUGCACUACACACCUUUCAAGGCAGCAAUGGCAGCACUAUGAAUUUGGUGUCAUUUCUGGAGUCAGAUUUUGUCCUGAGUUGCCCUCCUUGUUGCCCCAUCCAGGAGGUUCUGGAAGGUUAGAAAACAUUCCAGAGUGAACUACUGUGCCACCGUCCUCUCCCCGUCCUGUUUUGUCCCCUCCCCCUCACCUCAGUAUCUCUCCUUCGAUUCUGGCAGCUUUGCUCUUCCUCCUUCCCUCCCUAGGGAAACUCAACCACCCUAGCUAAGCCACCGUAGUCACUUUUUACCAUUAUAAUAUUUUUCUUUCCCUGGCCAGGAUAUUGGUAAAGUGGAAAGUGUGUCAUAGCCCCACCCUGGGCCUUACUACUUUUUAGAGGUUUUUUUUAUUCAUCUUUCUAUCUUUCUCCUUUCAUCUCUGUCUUCCGAAUUUAUUUCUCCAGUUCCCUUUCUCUCUUCCUUCCUUCCUUUUUUCUUUCUUUCUUUUCUUUUUUUCUUUCUUUCUUCCUCUAUCCUUUUUCCUUUCUUUCUCUUCUUUCUUUCUCUAUCUCUUUCCAUAUUUCUCUCUUCCUCCUUCUUUUUACUUUUUCUUUCUUUUUUGAUUUUUUUGAGAUGGAAUCUCACUGUGUUACACAGGCUGGAGUGCAGUGGCUCCAUCUCAACUCAUGGCAACCUCCACCUUCCGGGUUCAAGCUGUUCUUCUGCCUCACCACUGCCCCCCACACCUGACCUGCCUAGGUAACUGAGACUACAGGUGCAUGCCACCAUGCCUGGCUAAUUUUUGUAUUUUUAGUAGAGACAGGGUUUCACCAUAUUGGCCAGCCUGGUAUCGAACACCUGACCUGGUGAUCCACCCACCUCAGCCUCCCACAUUGCUGGGAUUACAGCCGAGAGCCACUGCACCCACCCAUUGUUUCUUUUAAAAAUAUUUUUCCUUUCAGAAAUCGACCUCCUUCUUCAUUUCCUUUAUAUUUUUUCUUGCAGGACUCGCAAUCUUUAUUGGUUCAAGUUUUUCAGACAGAAUCUAGCUCUGUCACGUGGGCUGCAGUGCAUUGGCCUGACCAUGGCUUACCAUAGCCUCGACCUUCUGAGUCCAAGAGAUGGUCUUAUGUCAGCCUUUCGAGGAGCUGUGACUACAGACGCAUAUCCUCAUUCCAUGCUAACUUUUUUCCCCUUUUUUUUUCUUUAAGUAGAGACAGGGUCUUGCUAUGUUGCCAGAGCUGAUCUCAAACUCCUGGGCUCAGGCUAUUCUCCCACCUAACCUCGCAAAGUGUUGGGAUUAUAGAU
Molecule: long non-coding RNA, 8642 nt
Filed under: Homo sapiens (human)
Lineage: Eukaryota; Metazoa; Chordata; Mammalia; Primates; Hominidae
Description: HSALNT0187712
Source: RNAcentral